RNAcentral lists this unclassified non-coding RNA (355 nucleotides) under soil metagenome. RNAcentral describes it as "partial contains 5.8S ribosomal RNA, internal transcribed spacer 2, and large subunit ribosomal RNA". The stretch from base 1 to 120 matches the Rfam family "5.8S ribosomal RNA", at positions 35 to 154 of the family's 154-position model. The record is from RNAcentral.
GAUGAAGAACGUAGUGAAAUGCGAUAAGUAAUGUGAAUUGCAGAAUUCAGUGAAUCAUCGAAUCUUUGAACGCACAUUGCGCCCAUUAGUAUUCUAGUGGGCAUGCCUGUUCGAGCGUCAUUAAGUCCACUUAAGCCCUGCUUAGUGUUGGGAGACUGCUCCAGCGGUGCUACCCUGUAGCUACCCUGCAGCUCCUCAAAGACAGCGGCGGAGUUGUGGUAUCCUCUGAGCUUAGUAACUUGUUCUAGCUUUCGAGUACACCACUUCCCCUGCCGUAAAACCCUUAAUUUUUAAUGGUUGACCUCGGAUCAGGUAGGAAUACCCGCUGUACUUAAGCAUAUCAAUAAGCGGAGGA